Long non-coding RNA from Balaenoptera acutorostrata (minke whale), 559 nucleotides. RefSeq lists it as uncharacterized. Lineage: Eukaryota; Metazoa; Chordata; Mammalia; Artiodactyla; Balaenopteridae. The record is from RefSeq and is a predicted model, not a curated record. The transcript is spliced from 3 exons.
GCGGCCGCUUCCCCAGACGCUGGGAUGCCAGGCCCCCCAGGCCCCCGCACGACUGGUUGUGGGCGGGGGACUGAGGGACGCCGGGGUGGCUGGCGGCAGCUCGAAGGCUGGCCGGCGGAGCGCGGGAAGUACGGUGCGGCAGUGCCGAGACGCGCGGAGACGCUUUCCCUCCUCCGCAGGUGCAGCGGGGCGUUGCGCGAGCUCACUUACUGCUUCCCGGACAUCUGCGGACCAAGGAGUUUGAGCUACAGUGGGGCCAAGGAAUCUUUUAUUCCAGUGAAACUUUAAUGGAAGGCUGACACAUAAAGAACUGCCGUGGCUGAAGAAAAGGAUGGGUGAGGAAGAGGUGAGGCUACAGUGAAAGGACUUCUGUCUAUAAACCAGGAAGCAGACCCACACUGGACACUGACUCUGCUGGCACCAAGAUCUUGGACUUCCCAGCCUCCAAAACAGUGAGAAAUAAAUUUCUCUUGUUUCUAAGUUACCCAGUCUAUGGUAUUCUGUUAUAUCAGCCCAAAUGGACUAAAGUGACUGAAUGAAUAAAUGAGUAAACUGCCAU